RNAcentral lists this non-coding RNA (46 nucleotides) under Schistosoma margrebowiei. Lineage: Eukaryota; Metazoa; Platyhelminthes; Trematoda; Strigeidida; Schistosomatidae. The record is from RNAcentral.
CCACUACUGAGGAGUCCCACAAUAGGACGAAACGGCCGUCCAGUAC